Molecule: ribosomal RNA, 468 nt
Filed under: uncultured bacterium
Lineage: Bacteria
Description: partial 16S ribosomal RNA
Rfam family: Bacterial small subunit ribosomal RNA
Source: RNAcentral
GACGAACGCUGGCGGCGUGCUUAACACAUGCAAGUCGAACGGAAAGGCCCUGCUUUUGUGGGGUGCUCGAGUGGCGAACGGGUGAGUAACACGCGUGUAACCUGCCCCUGACUUUGGGAUAACAUCAGGAAACAGCGGCUCAUACCGGAUAGGAGCUCCUGCUGCAUGGUGGGGGCUGGUAAGUUUCGGCGGUUGGGGAUGGACUCGCGGCUUAUCAGCUUGUUGGUGGGGUAGUGGCUUACAAAGGCUUUGAAGGGUAGCCGGCCUGAGAGGGUGACCGGCCACAAUGGGACUGAGAUACGGCCCAGACUCCUACGGGAGGCAGCAGUGGAGAAUAUUGCACAAUGGGCGGAAGCCUGAUACAACAACGCCGCGUGCGUGAUGACCGCCUUCGUGUUGUGAACCGAUUUCGCCUGUAACGAAGCGUGAGUGACGGUAAUGGGUAAGGAAGCACCGGCUAACUACGUG